Molecule: long non-coding RNA, 555 nt
Filed under: Vigna radiata
Lineage: Eukaryota; Viridiplantae; Streptophyta; Magnoliopsida; Fabales; Fabaceae
Description: long non-coding RNA (VRAD_LNC000576)
Source: RNAcentral
AUGAGGAAGAGGUUUUUCAUGUGAUCUUUUCUUCUUUCCUCUCUUCCUCUUUUUCUCAACCUUCUCCUUCCUUAACCUUCUCUUUUUCUUUUUCUUUUCUUUCUUUAUUUUCACAUUUUUUUUCUUUUGUUCUUUUCUUUCAACCACUGCUUUUCCUUUCUCAUCCUUCUUCUCACUCUCAUUCAACUUUUCUGUUUCUAUCUCCUCUAUCAUUUUCGCAGCAACAACUCUUUCUGUUUUUGUUUCUUCUUCAUACAUCUCUAGCUCUUCUUCUUCUAUUUUUUCCUCCUUGACAACAUUAUCAUUUGUAAAGAUGGUGGCUUGACAUUCUUCUUUAGGGUUAACUUUAGUAUUAACCCUAAUAAUGCCCAGAGACUUCAAGACCUUUGUUAUCUCAUCUUCCUCUAUCUUCUCUUCAUCAAUAAUUCUGUCAUCCUCAAAGAUAGGAGCUUGACAUUCUUCCUUAGGGUUAACUUCAGUAUUAACCCUAAUAAUAUCCAGAGACUUCAACGCACGAGAGUGUUGUUCCUACAAUAAACGUUCUUUAGCUUCCCC